GGGGAAUAUUGGACAAUGGGCGCAAGCCUGAUCCAGCCAUGCCGCGUGCAGGAUGAAGCAUCUAUGGUGUGUAAACUGCUUUUGUACGGGAAGAAACACCUCUACGUGUAGAGGCUUGACGGUACCGUAAGAAUAAGGAUCGGCUAACUCCGUGCCAGCAGCCGCGGUAAUACGGAGGAUCCAAGCGUUAUCCGGAAUCAUUGGGUUUAAAGGGUCCGUAGGCGGCUUUAUAAGUCAGUGGUGAAAUCCGGCAGCUCAACUGUCGAACUGCCAUUGAUACUGUAGGGCUUGAAUUAUUGUGAAGUAACUAGAAUAUGUAGUGUAGCGGUGAAAUGCUUAGAUAUUACAUGGAAUACCAAUUGCGAAGGCAGGUUACUAACAUUACAUUAACGCUGAUGGACGAAAGCGUGGGGAGCGAAC
RNAcentral lists this ribosomal RNA (420 nucleotides) under uncultured bacterium. RNAcentral describes it as "bacterial SSU rRNA". It matches the Rfam family "Bacterial small subunit ribosomal RNA", at positions 356 to 773 of the family's 1533-position model. The record is from RNAcentral.